This 473-nucleotide ribosomal RNA is filed under the name uncultured organism. RNAcentral's name for it is "partial 16S ribosomal RNA". It matches the Rfam family "Bacterial small subunit ribosomal RNA", at positions 331 to 796 of the family's 1533-position model. The record is from RNAcentral.
GUACACUCCUACGGGAGGCAGCAGUGGGGAAUUUUGGACAAUGGGCGAAAGCCUGAUCCAGCAAUGCCGCGUGAGUGAAGAAGGCCUUCGGGUUGUAAAGCUCUUUUGUCAGGGAAGAAACGGUGAAAGCUAAUAUCUUUUGCUAAUGACGGUACCUGAAGAAUAAGCACCGGCUAACUACGUGCCAGCAGCCGCGGUAAUACGUAGGGUGCAAGCGUUAAUCGGAAUUACUGGGCGUAAAGCGUGCGCAGGCGGUUUUGUAAGUCUGAUGUGAAAUCCCCGGGCUCAACCUGGGAAUUGCAUUGGAGACUGCAAGGCUAGAAUCUGGCAGAGGGGGGUAGAAUUCCACGUGUAGCAGUGAAAUGCGUAGAUAUGUGGAGGAACACCGAUGGCGAAGGCAGCCCCCUGGGUCAAGAUUGACGCUCAUGCACGAAAGCGUGGGGAGCAAACAGGAUUAGAUACCCGAGUAGUCC